This 253-nucleotide ribosomal RNA is filed under the name uncultured bacterium. RNAcentral's name for it is "partial 16S ribosomal RNA". It matches the Rfam family "Bacterial small subunit ribosomal RNA", at positions 524 to 776 of the family's 1533-position model. The record is from RNAcentral.
UACAGAGGUCUCAACCGUUGUUCGGAUUCAUUGGGCGUAAAGGGUGCGUAGGUGGUCGCGUCAGUCGGAUGUGAAAUCUCGGGGCUCAACCCUGAAACUGCAUUCGAUACUGCGUGGCUAGGGUACUGGAGAGGAGACUGGAAUUUACGGUGUAGCAGUGAAAUGCGUAGAUAUCGUAAGGAAGACCAGUGGCGAAGGCGAGUCUCGGGACAGUUACCGACACUGAGGCACGAAGGCCAGGGGAGCGAACGGG